GACGAACGCUGGCGGCGUGCCUAACACAUGCAAGUCGAACGGAAAACAUAGCAAUAUGUUUUUAGUGGCGAACGGGUGAGUAACGCGUAGACAACCAACCUUUUUGUGGGGGACAACACUUCGAAAGGAGUGCUAAUACCGCAUACGCUCCAGAUGCGGCCUGGCAUUUGGAGGAAAGGAGCUGUAAGGCGUCGCAAAAAGACGGGUUUGCGUCUGAUUAGCUAGUUGGAGGGGUAACGGCCCACCAAGGCGACGAUCAGUAGCCGGUCUGAGAGGAUGGACGGCCACACUGGGACGGAGACACGGCCCAGACUCCUACGGGAGGCAGCAGUGGGGAAUCUGCCGCAAUGGACGAAAGUCUGACGGAGCGACGCCGCGUGAGUGAUGAAGGCCCUUGGGUCGUAAAGCUCUGUCAUCAGGGACGAACGGUCACGUCAGGAAAUGGGCGUGAAUUGACGGUACCUGAGAAGGAAGCCACGGCUAACUACGUGCCAGCCGCCGCGGUA
RNAcentral lists this ribosomal RNA (506 nucleotides) under uncultured bacterium. Its description in RNAcentral is "partial 16S ribosomal RNA". It matches the Rfam family "Bacterial small subunit ribosomal RNA", at positions 28 to 522 of the family's 1533-position model. The record is from RNAcentral.